UUUAUGUUUUUACUUCUCAGUAUGGUGUGUACCGUCAUUUGCUGUAGACCUCUAACAUGGCCUCGAUGAGAGACACAAUGUUAAGGGGGAAUGCAGGCAUAAGGAUGCUCCUCUUGAAACAGCAGAUGUCUAAUGAACUAACCCAUGGACCAGGGCUGGUCCUGACUCCUUGGCGUGAACUGCUACAUACGUAGCCCACAGGCAAAGCACAGGUUGGAUCUUUAUGAACCACUAUUAUAUCUCAGCCAGCCACUGAUGCGGAAGCAGAGAAAUGACAACUCACAAGCAUCAGCAAGGAACUGAUACGCAGUUCACUUCACCUGUUGCCAUCAGGUCCCGAAAGGAAAAUUAUAUUGUGACUGUUUCCUGCAUUGGGUAUUCAUACGUCUCUGGCCAGCAAUGUAUCUGAGCAACUGAAAAACUCCCCAGGAAUUUACUAAUGGCAAGGGAGGGAAAGAAAAAUUUUGAUUACUUCCUCAGUAUAGCAUUAAAAACUGCCAUGGAAAGAACUGAGUCUACAUCUCUCAGGCCUAGUCUUCCAACUGUAAGCCUUUUCCCAGGGGUAGCUGGUUUCUUUUUCUGACUUACAAAUAUACCUAAUCAAAGCUGCAGAAUCAAUCCAGCCUGCCCUGUUUAAGAAGACAAUACAAGAGUCUUGUAUUGUAUUAUAAGAUAAUGAUACGAGAGUCUUACAGGGGAUAGUGCUAAUAUGCGAAACAGCCCUUCUGUCCUCCAGUUUGAAAAUCUAGUCAGGAACAGCGACUGCAAACAAAGGGAAUUCCUACUGUUUCCUCCUAUUUUUUACCGAAAGUGCAGAAACUCCAACUGCAGAGAAACGCUCGUUCCCUUCUGCUCCCGUGCCAAUCCGCCAUUCUCCAGGAUUGGAUCUUGUCACAUCGUGAAACAACUUGUGAAUCAGAGAGGCUGUACCGUAACACAGUGAGCAGGAGGUUUAGUGGGCAGAAGCUCUGUUUCUUUCCCACAAUUUUCAAGGCUUGUUUCAGUGCGUUACUUUUUAUUCAGUACCUACUGUCACUCGGAGAAAUUGCCAAAGAGACACUGUCACACAGGUUACACUGUAUAUUGUAGCUUUACUGUACUUUUCAGAGGAUAAGGUAUAAACAUUCAAUCAGAUGUUGGGAACUGAGGAUAUGGUAUCACAUAAAAAGCCAAUUUUUACCUCUGAGAGGAAAUAAGUACAAUUCUGCUGAUAAAUUGCAGUCAUAUUUCCCAUACCAUGCAAUCAUUGUGAAUUUUAUGCAGUCCAGCUAUUGAGUAGCCAUCAAAAUGCCAGCACAUCCACUCGUAAAUCAUUGAAUGCUCUUGUGGGGUAUUUUCACUGGAUUAGCUACACCUACAAUUAAAGUAGUACUUGACCCAUUGUUAAAUUGGAUUAUAUUCAAAUUCUUAAAGCAAUUAUCUCAAAUACCAAUUUCAUUGCAUAAGCUAGCAUGCAAUUAAAAGAUUAAUACCACAUCCAGACUGCAAUCCUAAGUGACUGAAACAAGAAAAACAAACAUAUUUUUGAACAACUUCUACAAUUAAUGAUAAUAUAGUAAGAAAGUUAAAGAAUUCUCAUUUUCCUUAGAAGUAUUUGAGGUUGAUGAAGUAGGAAAACUUGAUUCACUUUAUACUGUAUAAAAAUAUGGAAAAGGGCAGCAUUAAUUUUAUGAGGCAGUGUUAAAACUCAACUUGCUGCAAAGUGAACCCAUGCCCUUACACAGGAGAAUCUGGAUAUGCUGCCAGUGACAUUGCUGAAUUUUGCAGACCAUCAUCUUAAGAAAUCAUCUCUCAAAGGAACAUUCAUUCCAAUUAUAAUCCCAUAUUUCAUCUAUUACUAUGAGAAAAAGGCUAAGAAAAUGAUGGUGGAUCACUGCCAUUUACAUUUAGAAAUGUAAAUCCUACUUUACACAUGCAGAUCCUAACUGUUUUCAAAACACAGAUGCCCACAUACACUGACGAAAACUCAAGACUUCAGCUUGCAAAUUUAGUACAGGUGUUUGGUUUAAGUGCUUCCAAAAGCCAAAUUCUUUUUCUCUUUGUUCUGGUAAACAUUUCAGUAUUAGCAGCCAUUUAAAAUCGGUUACUCCAAACUUUAUUUGCAUAAAUAAAUGCAUGUGAUCCCAGCAAAAUAAAGCAGCCUCUGCUUCCCGUUUCAGCUAAAGAAGUUUAUAAACUAGUAGGCUUUCACUUUUUAACUUCUUCUAUUAAUGCAUUUUCAGCAGUUCACAAAGCGCAUGGUAAAAUCGAAAAACGUUUUGUUUUAGCCAAGAAUUUUAGGAGGUAGUUUUAUUUAUGUAUUCCAGUAUGUAUUUGCUUUUUUUGUAAUAACAUCAUGUUGUUUAGUCAUGGUCCAGCCUAGAAUCCACUAUGAUCCCGAGAUCUUUUUCUGCAGCACCCCUGCCUGGCCUGUUGUUCCUCACCCGGACGUGUGUAGAUGCUAUCCUGCCACAAAGGAAGCGGCGUUGGUGCUCAGUUUUUCUCAGAUCCUUUUGAUUUCUAAGCCUGAGCUUGAAUGUGUUGACAAUAGCGGUGUCUGCAAAUUCACUGAGUGUAGUCUUUAUCCUACGAUCCAGAUAACUGCUGAAAUUACUGAAAAGGACAUGGCUGAACUAAAACUUUUUGCAGUUAUCCCAUUCAGUACGUUAGUCGGUUUUGACAUUGAACCAUUGUUAAACUGGAAAACUACAUUCAGAAAGAAGUUUUCACCUACGUAUGUUGUAAUUUCAUUUCUACGGCUAUGCUACCUUAGGUUCUCCCGUUACCAUUGUGAUAUCAAAGGGGUAUUGCCCGUACCAAAAGAAGAAAACACAUUUUUGAGUUUUUAAAUCCAAUGCCUUUACUUUGUUGUAUAUGUUGAAUUAAAGACAGCCCUUAUGAGAAGUUAGGGCAAUUUAUCAAUUUUUAAAAGGAAGCACUUUAGCUACUGUGUACACAAAGCACCACUAACUAUUUAAUUAAAAAAAAAUAAAUCUAUAGAUGUGGUUUAAAGAAAUGAGGAUGCAUCAUUUAAUCUUCAUUGCCCUCUUGCAGGAUUUCAGUUAGGAAAUUGUUCAGCCAUACAGAUUUCAUUACUGAAAUCAAUGGAAACAUCAGUUUGUGUAAAAGCUUCUUGCAUAGGAACAAAAAGGCAAGAUUGGCUUUCCUUUUUUUAUUUUUUUAAAACACUGUUUUUGCUUUGUCACUUUUCCACAUUGUUUUCUCUCUACAGGCUCACCAGGCUCCCUCUGGUGGUUACCUAACAAAAACAUUGCUUUGCUUAGGGCCACAUACAAAACCGCAAAUUAAAGACUG
Molecule: long non-coding RNA, 3294 nt
Organism: Pygoscelis adeliae (Adelie penguin)
Lineage: Eukaryota; Metazoa; Chordata; Aves; Sphenisciformes; Spheniscidae
Exons: 3
Source: RefSeq, a predicted model, not a curated record